This 77-nucleotide transfer RNA is filed under the name Gammaproteobacteria bacterium. Its description in RNAcentral is "tRNA-Pro". It matches the Rfam family "tRNA". Rfam says of the family: Transfer RNA (tRNA) molecules are approximately 80 nucleotides in length. Their secondary structure includes four short double-helical elements and three loops (D, anti-codon, and T loops). Lineage: Bacteria; Pseudomonadati; Pseudomonadota; Gammaproteobacteria. The record is from RNAcentral.
CGGGGCGUGGCGCAGCCUGGUAGCGCACCUGACUGGGGGUCAGGGGGUCAGAGGUUCAAAUCCUCUCGUCCCGACCA